UUGGAAGUAAAAGUCGUAACAAGGUUUCCGUACAUGAACCUACGGAAGGAUCAUUG
Molecule: ribosomal RNA, 56 nt
Filed under: Mammillaria wiesingeri
Lineage: Eukaryota; Viridiplantae; Streptophyta; Magnoliopsida; Caryophyllales; Cactaceae
Also listed under: 1 other name
Description: partial 18S ribosomal RNA
Source: RNAcentral